Long non-coding RNA from Oryza sativa Japonica Group (Japanese rice), 593 nucleotides. RefSeq lists it as uncharacterized. Lineage: Eukaryota; Viridiplantae; Streptophyta; Magnoliopsida; Poales; Poaceae. The record is from RefSeq and is a predicted model, not a curated record.
GAAGCAGAGGCUGCGGUUUCCUCUCCACCAAAUCCGGCGGGGCUAGUGCUGGUGGUGGAUCUCGGGCUCUCUUUUGCUGCGCCCUCUCUGCAUCCUCUCAGAGAGCACAAGUGGUGGUGGAUCUCUUGCUCAAUUUGAAGUGAUGGCUAGGAAGAAAUCCCAUGCAACGAAAGGCACGUAACGAAUCAGAGUCAAGUCAGAAAAAAGGGGUGUAUCACAACGUGGGAAGAAGAGAGAUCACGGUGGAGAUGAUGCAACACAACCUCCUCCAAAAAGGAGUAGAACAAAGUACUAGAAGAGAAAGCGAGGAGGCAACUAGGGGGAACGCAUCAUGUUGGGUGCACAUACAAGCACAUACAAAGGAAAUUUGGAGGUAUGAGGGAGGACAUUAAUCAAGAUGGAAGACAGGAAACAACAUUACAACUCAUUUCUUACAAAAUUGCAGCACAGUUUCAUAGAAUAUGUUUAUCAGAGAAGACAGAAAAGAUCUCAAAGAUUCUAGGUUAGUUUCUAUGAUUUUUUUGGAUGGAUCUCAAAAAAACAGAGGAUGAACUUCAUGUGUACCUGUGAUAUAUUUUUUUGGAUCUACUUUA